This 370-nucleotide ribosomal RNA is filed under the name uncultured bacterium. Its description in RNAcentral is "bacterial SSU rRNA". It matches the Rfam family "Bacterial small subunit ribosomal RNA", at positions 29 to 430 of the family's 1533-position model. The record is from RNAcentral.
AACGAACGCUGGCGGCAGGCCUAACACAUGCAAGUCGAACGCUCCAGCAAUGGAGAGUGGCAGACGGGUGAGUAACGCGUGGGAACCUUCCCUAUGGUUCGGAAUAGCUCAGGGAAACUUGAGGUAAUACCGGAUAAGCCCUUCGGGGAAGAUUUAUCGCCAUUGGAUGGGCCCGCGUAGGAUUAGCUAGUUGGUGAGGUAACGGCUCACCAAGGCGACGAUCCUUAGCUGGUCNGAGAGGAUGAUCAGCCACACUGGAACUGAGACACGGUCCAGACUCCUACGGGAGGCAGCAGUGGGAAUUUUGGACAAUGGGGGCAACCCUGAUCCAGCCAUUCCGCGUGAGUGAAGAAGGCCUUCGGUUGUUAAG